Molecule: signal recognition particle RNA, 305 nt
Filed under: Brassica rapa (field mustard)
Lineage: Eukaryota; Viridiplantae; Streptophyta; Magnoliopsida; Brassicales; Brassicaceae
Description: SRP RNA Plant_SRP
Rfam family: Plant signal recognition particle RNA
Source: Rfam by way of RNAcentral
GUCGAGCUCGGUAGCGUGGGCUUAUAAUCCAUGUGGAGACAAUAGGAUGAUAGGACGUUGGGUCGAUCUCGUUGGGCCGGGUUUGUUGGGCUUAUUAUGGCCUGCCCGUUCCAGGUUAGGAGUUGAGGCAUGCGGCUUGAGCGAAGGCUUUAGUCACGUGUUUCUUAAAGUGGGGGAGACUGCGUGAGGUUGGUUUCACAGAGCAGCGUACACCUCCCGCUCUUGACGGUGGAAGGAUAACGGGCCUUCGCCUGCCGAGCCUUACUAUGACCCAAUAAGCUGAUUCCGAUUGGACCAAUUUUUUU